Molecule: ribosomal RNA, 433 nt
Filed under: uncultured bacterium
Lineage: Bacteria
Description: partial 16S ribosomal RNA
Rfam family: Bacterial small subunit ribosomal RNA
Source: RNAcentral
AACGAACGCUGGCGGCAUGCCUAACACAUGCAAGUCGAACGAGACCUUCGGGUCUAGUGGCGCAAGGGUGCGUAACGCGUGGGAACCUGCCCUUAGGUUCGGAAUAACUCCCCGAAAGGGGUGCUAAUACCGGAUAAUGUCUUCGGACCAAAGAUUUAUCGCCUUUGGAUGGGCCCGCGUUGGAUUAGCUAGUUGGUAGGGUAAAAGCCUACCAAGGCGACGAUCCAUAGCUGGUCUGGGAGGAUGAUCAGCCACACUGGGACUGAGACACGGCCCAGACUCCUACGGGAUGCAGCAGUGGGGAAUAUUGUACAAUGGGCGAAAGCCUGAUCCAGCAAUGCCGCGUGAGUGAGGGAGGGCUGAGUGUUGUAAGGCUCUUUUACACGGGAUGAUAAUGACAGUACCGAGAGAAUAAGCUCCGGCUAGCUCCGUG